RNAcentral lists this unclassified non-coding RNA (405 nucleotides) under soil metagenome. RNAcentral describes it as "partial contains 5.8S ribosomal RNA, internal transcribed spacer 2, and large subunit ribosomal RNA". The stretch from base 1 to 121 matches the Rfam family "5.8S ribosomal RNA", at positions 35 to 154 of the family's 154-position model. The record is from RNAcentral.
GAUGAAGAACGCAGCGAAAUGCGAUAAGUAAUGUGAAUUGCAGAAUUCAGUGAAUCAUCUAAUCUUUGAACGCACCUUGCGCCCUUUGGCCAUUCCGAAGGGCAUGCCUGUUUGAGUAUCAUGAACACCUCAACUCUUUAUGGUUUUCCAUGAUGAGCUUGGACUUUGGGGGUUUUGCUGGCCUAUGGUCGGCUCCUCUAAAAUAAAUCAGCUUACCGGUGUUUGGUGGGUAUCAUGGGUGUGAUAACUAUCUACGCUUGUGGUUUUUCCACCAGGUAACCUUCGACAGCGGAGGUUCACUGGAGCUCAUAGAUGUCUCUCCUCAGCGAGGACAGCCCUUUGAAUGUUUGAUCUCAAAUCAGGUAGGACUACCCGCUGAACUUAAGCAUAUCAAUAAGCGGAGGA